RNAcentral lists this ribosomal RNA (448 nucleotides) under uncultured bacterium. RNAcentral describes it as "SSU rRNA". It matches the Rfam family "Bacterial small subunit ribosomal RNA", at positions 26 to 518 of the family's 1533-position model. The record is from RNAcentral.
AGAGCGAACGCUGGCGGCAGGCCUAACACAUGCAAGUCGAGCGGCCGUAGUAAUACGGCAGCGGCAGACGGGAUAGUAACACGUGGGAACGCGCCCUUCGGUUCGGAAUAACUCAGGGAAACUUGAGCUAAUACCGGAUACGCCCUUACGGGGAAAGAUUUAUUGCCGAAGGAACGGCCCGCGUCCGAUUAGCUAGUUGGUGAGGUAAUGGCUCACCAAGGCUACGAUCGGUAGCUGGUCUGAGAGGAUGACCAGCCACAUUGGGACUGAGACACGGCCCAAACUCCUACGGGAGGCAGCAGUGGGGAAUAUUGGACAAUGGGCGCAAGCCUGAUCCAGCCAUGCCGCGUGAGUGAUGAAGGCCCUAGGGUUGUAAAGCUCUUUUGUGCGGGAAGAUAAUGACGGUACCGCAAGAAUAAGCCCCGGCUAACUUCGUGCCAGCAGCCGC